Grus americana (Whooping crane) is the source of this 1975-nucleotide long non-coding RNA. RefSeq lists it as uncharacterized. Lineage: Eukaryota; Metazoa; Chordata; Aves; Gruiformes; Gruidae. The transcript is spliced from 3 exons. The record is from RefSeq and is a predicted model, not a curated record.
GCUGUCGCCGGCCCCGCUGCGUGAUGGCCACGUUAUCUCAUGUGGAGGCAGGAGGGGAAAUGAUAAGGCUCAGAUGGUGCCAUUCGUGGUCCUCAACAAGCCGUGCAAGUGUGAGUCCCUUUGAAGUUUACUUGUGACCCUGCUGAGAUCAAUACCCUGGGCUGGCAAAGAGGAGAGAGAGAAUCAGAAACCUGGGGAAAAGGACUUUGAAAAGAAUAGGGGGAAGUUUGAAAAGGCUUAGGAUAGAAAUGUUACCUCCCAGCCCCAGGAGCCUGGCACUGGACUAGCCAGCCUCCAGAGAGCCAAACACGCAUAGAUGGGCUGUGAUUGAACCCCCCCCCUUCUUGUGUUUUGCUGCUGCGGUUUGAAAUCAACUAUAUUUGCUUUCAGAAGAACUGUUUUUUCUUUCUGUGGUCGCAUGUGUACCCCAAUCUUGCUGGGAAGCAGCAGAACGGGCACCCCAGGACCUGGUCUGAUGAACGGGGGGUGCCCCGAGGUCUCCCCCAUCAUGUGUCCCCAGCACAACAGAUCUGGACCUUGCCAGCUGCCUGGCAAGAUUUGGCAGGGCUCAUCUGCUGGAGCCCCCAGACAGAUGGGGAGGGUCAAAGGUACCGCUAGCCUCGCACCGAGCUGCCCUCAGCAAUGCGGAUGUGAACAGCAUUGCAACACCAGUUAGAAGAAUUUGAAGGGUCAAAUUCCUUUGGAGCAUAACAUCGUUGAACUCGGUCGUCUUAGACCUCCAGCAUAUUUGGAGCAGUGUUUUGGAAGGCUGAUACCUUACCACGGACCUGUUUAAAGGAGUUAAUGUGUGACCGGCUACAAACCAUCUGGAGCAGACAGAUGGCCUGCCCUGUUGGAGCUGGUUUCAGCAGCUGGGACCCUGGGCGGUUCUCAGCGAUGCUGAUGUGAAUCCAGAAGCAAGCAACUGAGGGGAGAAGGAUUGCAGUUGCUUGCAUCAUCUGCAGAGCAGAAUUAGGCCUUUUUUCUGCAAAUUUCCAGCAGGAUUACUACCCAGGGCUUUCUCUAGAUAUGUACGUCCAUAUUCUGAAAUGCAGCCAACAUCCCGUUACUAAAAUAAACCCCACAAAUGUACCGUGUCUGGAACCAUUGCGAUUAAGAGCUACCAAAUAAGAAAAAUGUCAGAACACAAUGGAUUUAUGUCAAAGGCUCAACUGUUUGAAGAGUGUCCAUUUCUUUGAAGAGACCUUGCUGCUGGCUGAUGUCCAGAUACCGUGAAAAAUCCACUCCCCCUCAGUGCAAUCUGGAGUUCAGAAUACAACUAAAUUAAAAACUAAAGAGCCUUUUGCAAUCACAUCAGUUUUUAUUUAAGCACCGCAUCAGAGGAUGAGAUUAUCAGAACCGUCAGUGGAUACAGCGCACGGAUAUGGGGCUUGUCAACAGGGAGAACAAACCGGAAUAGCCGUCUUAAGAUAGCUGCCCUCUCGUGAUGGUCUGACUGCAAAGAAAGUUACUGUAUUGUGGAGUAAUAAGUGCCUUAGCAAAACAUGCUAAUGAUUUUAUAGUGAUCCUUACUGCAGGGUAGCCUCUCUACUGGGUACACAGGGACAGUUUUUCUUUUUAACCCCAAAUAAGUGUUCUCAAGUCCAUCUGCGGAUUGAUGUGGCUUCCUUGGAUCCAGGAGGAUCGGUGUCCCACUGCUGCCUGCGUCUCCAAGCUUUUUAAUUCCAGUCUCUCAAGUUGGUUCUCAAAUGGGCAUCCUGAAUCCAUGAUUCUGCUGUGGAGCCUGCGCAUGGACAGACAUCCACCCACAACGGGAGCCCUGCAAGCGUUCGCAUGGUUUAACCUCAGUUUAGUCACACCUCACGUUGGGAUGUUGUUCGCGUGUGAGAGCGGAAGGUGCGUGUUUGCACGCUGAGACAUUUGCCGGUGAGGGCAGGCGGGUCAAGGCUCUGCGGCACGGACACACGGACAUCAGUCCGAAGCGGCUGAGGAUCCAUGCUGCAGUGAGUUCUGC